CGUGGCUAAGGCGUGAGCGUAUGUGCGAGAGAUGGGGCGAGGCCUAAAAAAUAUCUGCCUCCACCUCCUCUGUCUCUCUCCUCCCGUUCCUCUGCGCCGCCUCCUCCGAUUCCCCUCAUCUUCUCCAUGCGUGGCGGCCGGCGCAGCUCCUCGCACCGCCGUCCGUCCUCCCUGGCUCUCUCAGAUCAGGGCGGGGCGGAGCAGCUCUGCCUUCUUCCCGUCCUCCAUCCCCAUACGUGCAGCGACGACCUAGAGGAGCUCAAGCCACAGUGAUAGUCCACGGCACCAUCAGCAUCGUCCUCAGCAGGAGGAGCACGGACCGCAUAGAUGGCCGGCUCCGUCCUGCUCCCAUGCCGCCAUCCGUCCAUCCUUUCUCUCUCUUGUUUUCCUUCAGAUCGGGGCGACUGCUAACUCUCUCUCUCUCUUUCUCAUUCUCAUUUUCGUUGGUGGGGAGAUGGUGAUGGCCAUGACCACCUCGACGGUGAGUGAGGAAGAUGCCUUAUUGUUGCAGGGAGGGAAGCAGCCCCAGAUUGAGGAGGAUGGCACAGGUCGUGAGCAUGGUCAUGGCCUGCAGAUUGAGGAGGACGGCACAGGUCCUCUUCUUUUAUUUUUAGCACAAAGUUUUGACAAAAUUGUUCUGACUGUGCAUCUUGAGAGAGUCCAUGCCAACGCAAAUCUUAUAGUUCUCUGAACUCGAUCUGAAGUAUGCAGCAAGGUUCGCUUACAAUGUGUGUCAAAUGAGAAUUACAAUAUUGCCUUUGUAGCUACAUGGGUAUCAGUUUUUGUUUGUACCGAUCCUUCCAAACUGAAGCUUAGAGAGAUAAAAAUGUUGCACCUGAAGGGCCAGGAGUGAACUACUCAACUCAGUCUAUGACAAUCAUACUGAAAAUCUUCGUGCAUUAUGAGGUAUUAUAGAGCUUUUACAUUUGCAUCAACUAGGUAAAUUGAAUACUGGAUACGAGCAUUUUUUACCUGAGGACUAUUGGCACUGGGAUGAUGGUCUUGAAAGCAAAUGGUUUUUUUACUCAGGUUGGACAGUGACAACCCUUAUGCCGAUUAGUGUUAUAGCAGGCUUAUACUAAUUUCACAUGGUUUUAACUUUUAGAUCCCAUGAUUAUGGGAGUGAAGAAAUUAUCCCUUUGUAGAUUUCAGUGAAUUUUCUUGUUAGUUUGACAAGGAAUAUGCCUGUGGUAUCAUACAUGAUUAUGGAAAAGAAGGAAAACAAAUGGAAGUCUUCCUCCCUCAGUUUUUACUCCUCGAUUCUUCUGGUCUUGAUAGUCUUAUUUUGAUUUCUCAAUUUGUGGUUUUUCUAUACACAUGUGUGCAGAUUUGAGAAAGAAGAGAAGAGCAAUAAUGUUUAGGUUUUUCUAGAUAUGUUUGCAGAUUUGAGAAAGAAGAGAAGAGCAAUAGUCUUCGGGAAGAGUUUGGUGAAGAAUAAGGUAAUACCAGCUCCAUAUCACGUUGCAAAGGAAAAACUUCUCGCCAUGUUCAGGCAUCUGUGGGAAGGCUGAUUAUUUUUCCACUUUCCAAUCGAUGAAGUGCAUUCAAUUGAUAAAGUAGAUUUAGUUAUUGUGGCGGCACAAGCUCGGCGGCGGCUGCUACCAGCCUAAUCUUUGGAUUAUUAUAAGUAUAGGCUGAUCGUGCACAAGGAGAAAAAUUGAAAAUGGUGACCUCUAUUGACUGGAAACCAAAUCCUUCUGUCAGACCGCUGAAUGGAAAUAACUCAAAAGAAGAGAAUGGAGAUGCUGUCUCUAUGCAAUUCGAUAACUAUCAGUUCAGUUACAAAGAACGAAAGACCACAUCACAAAUAGCUUCGAGAAUUCCAUUGGCAAAGACAAAUUCAGGGAGAUGGGAACAGACAGAUUCAGUGAAGGUUGGCUGCGCUUAAACUAUUGUGAUCAAGUUGGAAACAAAUGUUUCCUCCAACUCCUCGUGUUGGAGACUGGGGUUUGCAGUGCAAGUGAUCCGUUCAAAAACAAGAACUUGGCAGAAGCUAUACAUAUGCAAAUAGAGGUUCAGACACAGCUCCAUGAACAACUAUAGGAACACGGACAUCGCUAGCAGGAGAAAGUAUGCGAGGUUGGUAGAGUCAGUCAAGAAAUAUGGCGGUAGGAGAACAAGAGUUACAAGGUGGUAGAUACAUAGCUCGUACACCGGAGGGCGAGGAUGGAUCUACAAUGAGCAGAAGAAGCCGGGGUGCUCAGCCCAAACACAAACAGGUGCAGAGGCAUACACACCUUACGCCUGUUUAAGGGGGAGCAUCCAGCUGCCGCAUCUUUCCGCCCGUGCCAGAGGAAGUCGCGGAUCACCGGGUUGGCUCUCAAGUGGUGGUGUUCAAAGCUACCGCCGAGAAGAUAUGCAUGGGCAUGGCGGAGAGGACAUGAUGGACAAGGGUAAGCCUAACAAUGGCUACAACUUGGACUCGGCAAACUACAUCAACACGCAUGUAUAGGAGUUUGGAAUAUCCAACAUUUUCUGCUUUUUAUUUACUUCGUCCAAUAUCUGGGAACUAAAUGUGCUUUUAAAUUUGAUCCCCCAUGUGACUUAAUACUUUGAAAUA
Triticum dicoccoides is the source of this 2560-nucleotide RNA transcript. RefSeq lists it as uncharacterized. The record is from RefSeq and is a predicted model, not a curated record. The transcript has 9 exons. Lineage: Eukaryota; Viridiplantae; Streptophyta; Magnoliopsida; Poales; Poaceae.